Molecule: long non-coding RNA, 734 nt
Organism: Rosa rugosa (rugosa rose)
Lineage: Eukaryota; Viridiplantae; Streptophyta; Magnoliopsida; Rosales; Rosaceae
Exons: 4
Source: RefSeq, a predicted model, not a curated record
CUCUCACUCUCAAACCCUUCUUCUCUCUUGCUCUUUCUUUCGCUCUCGCACACAACAGAAAUCUUCGAACUGAAAACCCAAUCCAAUAUCAAUUUCUUCCAAUCCAACAUCGAACUGAAAACCCAGAAAAAAUCUCAACCAUCUCGCCUCGCAAACUAGAAAACCCCAUUCCAGCCAAAGGAUCUCAGUCUCAAUCCGUAUCUUGGUCUCAAUCUGAAUCCGCAUCUGUCCUUGGCGAUUGCAUUGGGCAGCAACAUAGGCGGUUUAGGCGGAGGCUGUUAUCUAUUGAAUCCAAAAUAGGAAGAGGAAAGUUCAAGGGCAAGCCCACGGGUCAGUGCCACUUCUGCACUCACGAAGAGAUGGUUUUUUCGAUGGCUUUUUUGGUGCUGGUAUAUGAUCCAACAUAUUUAGUGAGCAAUAUAUGGCGGCAUGAACAAUUAGUGAGAGAGCAUUGUGUUGAAUAUGUAUAAGGGGUGAGAUGGUUGGACCUGGACACAUGGCAGCUCUUGAGGAAUGAGGUUUUCCUUUUGAUAUAAUUUGGUGAAUUGACACCUUUCACUCCUCCAAAAUUACAGGUAAAGGAAUGUUUUGUAGUUGUAUUUCUUUAGUUACUCCAUUAAAUACUACUAUUAUCAGAUGGUUGUGCACUCGGGAUUUGCCGAUAAAUGGGAUUAAUUUAGUGAAAACAAUUCUUCAUCUUGCACUAUGCAUUUUGUAUGUGUUCUUCAAUUGUU